CCACAGCCACUCCCUGCCUCUGUGGGAGACUCUCCAACACCAGCAGAAAUUCUGGCACGGUGUGAGAAACGCAGCAAGUGUGCAGGAAACAGCUGCCAGACUGAAGGACAGAGUGUCAGCAGAGUUGGUCAUCAUUCCAAAAUGAAAAUGGACAGCCAAGGCAGCAAGGAGGGCUCAUGACAAGUAACACAGAUGAGAAUGGGAAGGGAGAGGACAACAGAAGAUAUGAUCAUCACCAAACUGGGAAAGAUGCACUGGAGUUUAUAAAUAUAGAUGCCACACAGCACACUGUGCACCAGCCUUGUCAAAUAAGUAGGCCUCUCCUUGGCUGCCCCCAGCACUCACUGUAUCAUCCCCUGGCAAUGGGCAUCAGCAACUUAGGAGGAAGGGUCCUAAUCUAUCUGGGCAUUACUACUGUGCUAGGUCCCACCACAGUUAAAUGUAAGCACCAACUGGCAAACCACAGGGGACAUCAAGAUCAUGCCAAAUGAUAAAACAAAGCUUUAAGACCACUUCAGGUUCAGGCUUAGCCUCAAAUAAAGAGAUACACGGACCACUUUAAAGAAUGUCAGUGGUGUAGCAGCUGACAGACUCAAUUUUUAAAGAUCUCAUUAAUGAGAACCUCUUCAAGAACAGAGAUUAUUUAUUUGGGGGUAAGUUAUCUAUGUAAUUUGAAUAUUGCACUCUGCCAACAAAUUCCAGUGCAUGGGAAACUAUUUUUAAAUGUGAAUGCAGCUAACUUAAAAGAUAGGAACACAGUCUAUAGUUUCUUUUUAAAUAGAGAUAAUUACAUUUUUAGGAAGUACAACAAAUGCACAAACAAAUGUUCAGAGCUGUCACUCUCACUUUUUUGUUAAACAUCCAGAUAAUCUAAAAAUGUGCAAUUCUUUCAUCUUUGGUUCAAACAGUUAACU
Molecule: long non-coding RNA, 914 nt
Organism: Mesoplodon densirostris (Blainville's beaked whale)
Lineage: Eukaryota; Metazoa; Chordata; Mammalia; Artiodactyla; Ziphiidae
Exons: 3
Source: RefSeq, a predicted model, not a curated record